Molecule: long non-coding RNA, 707 nt
Filed under: Brachypodium distachyon (stiff brome)
Lineage: Eukaryota; Viridiplantae; Streptophyta; Magnoliopsida; Poales; Poaceae
Description: long non-coding RNA (BDIS_LNC005377)
Source: RNAcentral
GCUAUGGUGCACCAAACAACAAACAGUUCGUGUCAAAAUUUGCGCAAGGACGAGAGGAAGAAGAAGAGCAUGGUCAUUUGGACCGAGGCUCACCAUGGAGUCGACGGCGAGCGAAGAAAACUGGCGGCCGAGGCAAACUCCGGCGAGAAAUUGCUCGACGUGGACGCGGGUGGAGUGAGGGGGGUGCGGGGGAAAAGAGAGAGGAGGAGGGGCUCUUUAUAGUGACACGAGAGGGGUGGUGUAAUGUCGCGCCCUAAAUCCCGAAUUGAAGACGAAAGUAAAGGCUGCGCUCGCUAGAUUCGCGGCCGGAGGAAGAAGAAGACUGACAGGGGGGGGCCCACCCGUCAGCGGCCGUGGGCUGCGGGCGACGGCGGGCGGGGCUCGCCGGGCCGGCUCGCGGGUGCGCGCGCGGGAUUGAGAUUUGGCCGGGCCGGUCCGUUUCCCUUUUUUUUUGUUCUUUUCUUUUCUCCUUUUCUUUUUCUGUUUUUCCUUUAUAAGUUUUGAUUUUGAACUCCAAAUGGACUCAAAUAAAUUCCAGAAAAUUUGUAAAAUCAUAGCCUUUAAUGCCAUAGCAUCUGGCUUGAUUUCUUCCAAAAGUAAAUUAUUAAAAAUAGUUUUGCUUAUAUAAUUGCCUCUAGUGCAAUAAUAUUUAAAAAGAAAAUAGUUUUUUUCAACUCCAAAAUAAAUUCCAAAAAUUAUGGGGUAGC